AUACGGAGGGGGUUAGCGUUGUUCGGAAUUACUGGGCGUAAAGCGUACGUAGGCGGAUCGGAAAGUAAGGGGUGAAAUCCCAGAGCUCAACCCUGGAACUGCCUCUUAAACUCCCGGUCUUGAGUUCGAGAGAGGUGAGUGGAAUUCCUAGUGUAGAGGUGAAAUUCGUAGAUAUUAGGAGGAACACCAGUGGCGAAGGCGGCUCACUGGCUCGAUACUGACGCUGAGGUACGAAAGUGUGGGGAGCAAACAGGAUUAGAAACCCCAGUAGUCC
Molecule: ribosomal RNA, 274 nt
Filed under: uncultured bacterium
Lineage: Bacteria
Description: partial 16S ribosomal RNA
Rfam family: Bacterial small subunit ribosomal RNA
Source: RNAcentral